Molecule: transfer RNA, 107 nt
Filed under: Pseudomonas syringae pv. actinidiae ICMP 19094
Lineage: Bacteria; Pseudomonadati; Pseudomonadota; Gammaproteobacteria; Pseudomonadales; Pseudomonadaceae
Description: tRNA-OTHER
Rfam family: tRNA (bases 11-96)
About the family: Transfer RNA (tRNA) molecules are approximately 80 nucleotides in length.
Source: RNAcentral
GAAGGGUGAUUAGCUCAGCUGGGAGAGCAGCUGCCUUACAAGCAGCGGGUCGGCGGUCCGGCCUGUCACGCCGGGGGUCGCGGGUUCGAGUCCCGUCCGCUGCGCCA